CCUACGGGGGACUGCAGUGAGGAAUAUUGGUCAAUGGACGAGAGUCUGAACCAGCCAAGUAGCGUGAAGGAUGACUGCCCUAUGGGUUGUAAACUUCUUUUAUAAAGGAAUAAAACGAGGCACGUGUGCCUUGUUGCAUGUAUUUUAUGAGUAAGGAUAGGCUAACUCCGUGCCAGCAGCCGCGGUAAAACGGAGGAGCCGAGCGUUAUCCGGAUUUAUUGGGUUUAAAGGGAGCGUAGAUGGGUUGUUAAGUCAGUUGUGAAAGUUUGCGGCUCAACCGUAAAAUUGCAAUUGAUACUGGCAGUCUUGAGUACAGUUGAGGUAGGCGGAAUUCGUGGUGUAGCGGUGAAAUGCUUAGAUAUCACGAAGAACCCCGAUUGCGAAGGCAGCUUACUAAACUGUGACUGACAUUGAUGCUCGAAAGUGUGGGUAUCAAACAGGAUUAGAUACCCUUGUAGUC
This 460-nucleotide ribosomal RNA is filed under the name uncultured bacterium. RNAcentral describes it as "partial 16S ribosomal RNA". It matches the Rfam family "Bacterial small subunit ribosomal RNA", at positions 338 to 795 of the family's 1533-position model. The record is from RNAcentral.